RNAcentral lists this long non-coding RNA (1742 nucleotides) under Homo sapiens (human). Its description in RNAcentral is "non-protein coding lnc-SLC9A3-2:1". Lineage: Eukaryota; Metazoa; Chordata; Mammalia; Primates; Hominidae. The record is from RNAcentral.
CCUCCGCAGCCCCCACUCAGAUGUCAGAAGACACAUCCAUCCUCCAUCUGCACCCACCCCACCGCCCACCUGCCCUUUGUCCACCUAUCUGUCCUUCCAUCCAUCUAUCAUCCAUCCGCUCAGCCACUAUCUUGCGAGUGCUAUUGUGUGCCCAGCUAUCUUCCAAGCUCCUGGGAUGUAUGCAUGAGCCCCUUGCUCGUGGAGCAGACAUUCCCAGGGUGAGGGCAGACAGCUCAAGGUCAAAGCCAGCAGCCCCCAGGGCUGGGAGGUGAGCUGAUUCCCGGAGCACCAGCGCACCACGCAAGGCCUGGGCGCCCCCGAGUUCUGGUAAGUGGCCGGUCCGGCUGUGGAAUGCAGGUUCCUGCUGAAGACAAUAGCGAGGGGCUGUGUGAAGACACACCUGGGGCCCCUGUGCACCCUUGGGCCGCCCUGUGGGGUCUGCGCAGCCCCAGGCCCUGCGUUUAUGAAGGAGGGUUGGGGCGAGCGCACCCACAGCUGCCCGGGCAUCCCAGGAGCUGCGCGGAACCGCCUGUCCCGCUGCCCCGCGCUGUGCUCCCCACGCCCCAGGAAGGCGGCCGCGCAGUCCCGGGCUCGCUCUUGCCGCGACCUCCCGGACCUCCAGGCCGCGGGCUCCGGGGGAGGGUGGGCACCAGGGAGCGCGGGGUGGGCGUGCGCGGGCGGGGCGGGCGUGCCGGGAGCUGCGGCGGUGUCUGCGCUCGCGAGUGCGCGGCGGGGGCGGGCAGGCUCCGCCCCGGGGCGGGAGGGGGCCGCGGGAUUAAAGGCCACCCCGGCGGGCGGGGAUCGGACUGUAGCCGGUACCGGCACCGGAGCGCGCCGGGUCCUCGCCGGGUCCCAGCCCCGCGCGUCGGCCCAGCCCAGCCGGGACCCCCCGCGACAUGCGCGUCCCAGCCCUGCGCUGAGCAGGCGGCAAUGUGGGGACUCGGGGCCCGGGGCCCCGACCGGGGGCUGCUGCUGGCGCUGGCGCUGGGCGGGCUGGCGCGGGCCGGGGGCGUCGAGGUGGAGCCCGGCGGCGCGCACGGCGAGAGCGGGGGCUUCCAGGUGGUCACCUUCGAGUGGGCCCACGUGCAGGAUCCCUACGUCAUCGCGCUCUGGAUCCUCGUGGCCAGCUUGGCCAAGAUCGGUAAGUGGCCCCGGGGUCUCCGGAUCUGCCCGCGGGGUGUGCGGCCGCCUCUGCUGGGCCUGGGGGCUUCGUUGUGGCCGCGCGCAUCAGGUCGGAGCCGCGCGGCGGCCGCCCGGGAGAGUCCGGCUCUCGGGUCCAGCAGAGCGAGACUCGGGAGCGACUCUGGCCGCGCUAAGCCGCCCCUGCGGGUCCCGAGGUCUCCCCUCCCCGGCGGGGGCACAGCCUCGGAGCCCCGGACUCCCGGCUCCCGGGUCCCUGUGGGGUCUCCGCCCCGCCUCCGCUCCGAGCCCCGCAGACUGCAGGCUGCUCGCGCCCAGGGAGUCCCCGGGGCCGGGUUUCCUUCGGGGUUCUCAGGCUUUUUAGAGAAACGUCCUUGGAGUGAUGGCGUUUUUUCGUGAGUUACAAGGGCAGAAAAGAAAAGCGGUGCUACCCGCAUGAAACCCAGCAGAAUCCUCCCUACAGGCGCAGCGUUCCCAUUGGCGGGCCUCCUUUUUUUUUUUUUUUUUUAGAAAAUCCCGGUCGGUCAGAUUUCUCUUCUUCUUAACCGGCGCCAAUGAACCAGUAAUGUGGGCACGGCAGGUAGCUCCUGGCAAGGUGACAG